AACGCGUUAAAUCGACCGCCUGGGGAGUACGGCCGCAAGGUUAAAACUCAAAUGAAUUGACGGGGGCCCGCACAAGCGGUGGAGCAUGUGGUUUAAUUCGAUGCAACGCGAAGAACCUUACCUGGUCUUGACAUCCACAGAACUUUCCAGAGAUGGAUUGGUGCCUUCGGGAACUGUGAGACAGGUGCUGCAUGGCUGUCGUCAGCUCGUGUUGUGAAAUGUUGGGUUAAGUCCCGCAACGAGCGCAACCCUUAUCCUUUGUUGCCAGCGGUCCGGCCGGGAACUCAAAGGAGACUGCCAGUGAUAAACUGGAGGAAGGUGGGGAUGACGUCAAGUCAUCAUGGCCCUUACGACCAGGGCUACACACGUGCUACAAUGGCAUAUACAAAGAGAAGCGACCUCGCGAGAGCAAGCGGACCUCAUAAAGUAUGUCGUAGUCCGGAUUGGAGUCUGCAACUCGACUCCAUGAAGUCGGAAUCGCUAGUAAUCGUAGAUCAGAAUGCUACGGUGAAUACGUUCCCGGGCCUUGUACACACCGCCCGUCACACCAUGGGAGUGGGUUGCAAAAGAAGUAGGUAGCUUAACCUUCGGGAGGGCGCUUACCACUUUGUGAUUCAUGACUGGGGUGAAGUCGUAACAAGGUAACCGUAGGGGAACCUGCGGUUGGAUCACCUCCUUACCUUAAAGAA
This 689-nucleotide ribosomal RNA is filed under the name Klebsiella pneumoniae. Its description in RNAcentral is "bacterial SSU rRNA". It matches the Rfam family "Bacterial small subunit ribosomal RNA", at positions 854 to 1533 of the family's 1533-position model. Lineage: Bacteria; Pseudomonadati; Pseudomonadota; Gammaproteobacteria; Enterobacterales; Enterobacteriaceae. The record is from RNAcentral.